RNAcentral lists this unclassified non-coding RNA (383 nucleotides) under uncultured fungus. RNAcentral describes it as "sequence contains ITS1". The stretch from base 1 to 105 matches the Rfam family "5.8S ribosomal RNA", at positions 50 to 154 of the family's 154-position model. The record is from RNAcentral. Lineage: Eukaryota; Fungi.
GAAAUGCGAUACGUAAUGUGAAUUGCAGAAUUCAGUGAAUCAUCGAAUCUUUGAACGCACAUUGCACUCUCUGGUAUUCCGGAGAGUAUGCUUGUUUGAGUAUCAGUAAACACCUCAAAUCUCUUGUUUCUUGUGAAUAAGAGAAUUGGACUUGAGCAAUCCCAACUCUUGCAAAAGAGGCGGGUUGCUUGAAAUGCAGGUGCAGCUGGACAUUCUUCUGAGCUAAAAGCAUAUUUAUUUAGUCCCGUAAAACGGAUUAUUACUUUUGCUGCAGCUAACAUAAAGGUUGAAUGGCCAAUAUGGCUGACUGAUGCAGGAUUAACAGAGAAUUUAUUCUUUGUAAACUCGAUCUCAAAUCAAGUAAGACUACCCGCUGAACUUAA